GAUGAACGCUAGCUAUAGGCUUAACACAUGCAAGUCGAGGGACCGGCGCACGGGUGAGUAACGCGUAUCCAACCUGCCCAUAACUAAGGGAUAACCCAGCGCAAGUUGGACUAAUACCUUAUGGUUAUUGUUGGGGAUGCGUUUGAUUCGCUUGUUGGCGGGGUAACGGCCCACCAAGGCAACGAUCAGUAGGGGUUCUGAGAGGAAGGUACACCACAUUGGAACUGAGACACGGUCCAAACUCCUACGGGAGGCAGCAGUGAUGAAUAUGGGUCAAGGGACGCAAGUCUGAACCAGCCAAGUAGCGUGCAGGAUGACGGCCUAUGGGUUGUAAACUGCUGUUAUAUGGGGAUAGGUACCAUAUGAAUAAGGACCGGCUAAUUCCGUGCCAGCAGCCGCGGUAAUAC
RNAcentral lists this ribosomal RNA (407 nucleotides) under uncultured bacterium. RNAcentral describes it as "partial 16S ribosomal RNA". It matches the Rfam family "Bacterial small subunit ribosomal RNA", at positions 28 to 526 of the family's 1533-position model. The record is from RNAcentral.